This is a long non-coding RNA of Oncorhynchus keta (chum salmon), 1252 nucleotides long. RefSeq lists it as uncharacterized. The transcript has 3 exons. NCBI's taxonomy places the organism in Eukaryota, Metazoa, Chordata, Actinopteri, Salmoniformes, Salmonidae. The record is from RefSeq and is a predicted model, not a curated record.
GUCUGAGAAUGGAUAGAAGAAACAAUGUGAGAGGACGAGGACGAGUGCGAGGUGGGCGAUGAGGAGGAAGAGGAGAAGGAGGAGGGCAAGAUAGAGGAAGACAAAGAGUGGAAAUAUCAGAUGAAAUUCGAGCAACAGUUAUAGACUAUGUUCUUGUCCAUGAACUGACAAUGAGUGAAGCCGGACUUAGAGUGCAACCCAAUUUGAGCCGAUGUUCUGUGUCCACCACAGUAAGGACAUUCAGAGAAGAGAACAGAAUUGCAAGGCUGCCACAUGCAGGUGGAAGGACAGCUAUAUUCACUCGGGAGCAAGAGGCUGUUAUAGUUGGCCUGGUCCUUCAAGAUAAUGCAAUACGACUCAGAGAAAUCCAGGAACGAGUGAUACAAGACAACACACACUUCCAGGGAAUCGACAGUGUGAGCAUUUCCACAAUUGACCGUGUCCUCCAUCGUAACAGGAUGCGAAUGAAACACGUAUACAGAGUACCUUCUGAGCGCAACUCACCAAGGGUGAAAGAACUGCGAGCUCAGCAUGUGCAAACAAUAUUUGACUUGGAAUCCUUGGACAGACCCCAUGAGUUGAUCUUUCUCCAUGAAGCAGGCUUCAAUCUAACAAAGAGGAGAAGGAGAGGCCCAAACAUGAUUGGACAGCGGGCCAUUGUUGAAGUCCCUGGUCAACAAGGUGGCAAUGUCACAAUCUGUGCUGCUAUCAGCAACCAUGGUGUUCUACAUCACCAUGUUACACUCGGGCUAUAUAACACCCAGCACCUUCUAAGAUUGUGAUAGUGUGGGACAAUGUCAGUUUCCACCAAGCUGCUCAGGUAAGGGGAUGGUUUAACAUCAAUGGGCAGUUUAUGAACUUGUACCUCCCUCCAUACUCGCCUUUCCUGAAUUCGAUUGAGGAGUUUUUCUCCUCUUGGAGAUGGAAAGUGUAUGAUAGACAACCCUACACCAGAGUAAAUCUGCUGCAAGCCAUGGAUUUAGCCUGUGGUGAUAUAGGUGAGGAAUCAUGUCAGGGCUGGAUACGGCACACCAGAGGCUUCUUCCCCCGUUGCCUCAGGACGGACAAUGUUGCUUGUGAUGUCGAUGAAGUGCUCUGGCCUGACCCAGCCCAAAGACAAGAAGAAGCACAUUGAUCACAUGUUUAUUCCUUUGAUUUUUGUCCCUUUUAGUAUUGUAUACUGUAGUGCAUUGCCAACAAAGGGUAUGUAACAAAGUAUUGAGAUAAACGUUUGUUAUUGACCAAAUACUUA